This is a small nucleolar RNA of Suncus etruscus (white-toothed pygmy shrew), 133 nucleotides long. RefSeq annotates it as small nucleolar RNA SNORA51. The transcript has a single exon. The record is from RefSeq and is a predicted model, not a curated record. NCBI's taxonomy places the organism in Eukaryota, Metazoa, Chordata, Mammalia, Eulipotyphla, Soricidae.
GGCCUCCCAGUGCUUACCAGAGGUUGUUUUGUUACACUGACUGUACAGAAAGAGGAGGUACAGUAAAUGCUCCCCCUAUACACCUCUAACCAGGCCCUUUGCCUGGUCUGUAUUGUGAAUGGGGGGGGCAAAA